RNAcentral lists this long non-coding RNA (567 nucleotides) under Glycine max (soybean). RNAcentral describes it as "long non-coding RNA (GMAX_LNC003544)". Lineage: Eukaryota; Viridiplantae; Streptophyta; Magnoliopsida; Fabales; Fabaceae. The record is from RNAcentral.
UGGAUACCGAUGGGAAGCUUGUAAAUGAAGAGCCAGCAAAAACAAGCCUUCAAGGAUAUGAUGAAGAAGAAAAAUUUAAAGGGCUUUUUCCAAAAUCUAUUCCUAUAGUUAAGCCUAUCCCAAAGUUAGUUAAACCUAUUCCUAUUCCCGUGUAUAAGCCUAUACCAAAACCAAUUCCCUUGGUGAAGCCUAUUUCAAAGCCAAUUCCAAUUAUAAAGUCAAUUUCUAAUGAAGAAGAAAAAUUUAAAGGACUUCCAAAACCUAUUCCAGUAAUUAAGCCGAUUCCAAAACUAAUUCCUGUUGUAAAACCUAUUCCUGUUCCAAUAUAUAAACCUACACCAAAAUUAAUUCCCAUCAUUAAACCAAUUCCAAUUGUUAAACCUGUACCAAAACCUUUUACAGUGCAAAAACCCAUCCCCGCUAUUGACCCAGAGUCUUUUCUAAAGCCGAAGCCUUUCUUUGAGAAACCUAUUCCUAAAUUGCCACUUGACCCUAAAUUCAAGAAACCACUUCUGCCACCUUUCCCAAUUCAAAAGCCAAUUUCAAGUCCAUAAGAUGAUAAGACUU